This is a long non-coding RNA of Athalia rosae (coleseed sawfly), 1689 nucleotides long. RefSeq lists it as uncharacterized. The record is from RefSeq and is a predicted model, not a curated record. NCBI's taxonomy places the organism in Eukaryota, Metazoa, Arthropoda, Insecta, Hymenoptera, Athaliidae. The transcript has 2 exons.
UUUCUCUAAUCUAAUAUAAUAGAAAUUAUACCGUGCCUAUUGGCGUUGGUAUUUAUAAGAGUGUUUAGUGUGGACAGUAGUUACUGCAAUAGCGUAUAGUAAUACGUGUAGUAACCAACCCAGAUUGGUGAGCCUGUGACGUCAUUCGAACGAGUCGAGUAAAGAAGAGGAAAAAAAAGAAGAAAUAAUAUUAGAGAAAAAAAGAAAAAAGAAAAAGAAAUGUUAAAGCACAAAGCUAUCUGUCUAUCGGAUGGAGCGCGGUGUACGUUUUACGUACGCUAUGCUCAAUAUUUAUCACCCAUAAAAAUUGAGGUACUGCAACGCACGGUCUGCUAAACGCGUUACAAACAUCGUACAGAAAAGGAUGUAAAGAAUUAUAUCCCUCUCUACAGUCUUGUCCUCCAACAUCUUAUCGUACAUACAUAUAUAGAAGUUUCAUCGAACGAGGGAGAAAGUUAUUUACUUUAAAAAGAGCUCGGUACACACGUGUGUAAAAACAAUAUAUACAACCGCGUACCUGUACGUGCAUAAUAAAAAAAAAAUUUAACGAUUCUUACAUCGCGCGAAUGCACCUAUGCGAUUUCCUCCCGGAGCGCGCGUGUUCCACUAAUUGACACAAUUAGUGUAAUCAUUAUACUUAACCGGUAGCGGCGCAUGAGUAUUAUAACGAGUGCUUCUGACGCAAAAGAAACGUAACAAAUGAGAAAACCUCCGUACACCUAGGAGCGCGAGUGCAGUAAUUUCGCCGGUAAAUUUUAUUCGUUGAAAUUUAAACAAUUAAAAAAGAAAUAACGUUCAUAAUGUAACUCUGAAUUAUGCAUUAUGGCGUAUCGAGAUCGUUAAUUAAAUUUAAUUGGUUGUUAGCUCGCCUUCCCUGUAAAUGGGCGUAAUGAAUUUCGACGAUAUUCACUUACAUUCCCAGCAGAAGAAAAAAAAAUAAAUAAAUAAAAUCGAAUAAAAAUAAUCGAGAAAAAGUUAAAUAAAUUUAAGUGCGGUCAACAACGAAUGCACGAGCGCGGGGUACCGCGUAACGGAGUGUGAAAUCGUGAAAAAAAAAAAAAUAUAAAAUAAAUUAAAUAAUAAUGAAUACAUUUCAUGGGUACUCUCUCAUUAUAAUACCGACGAGAGAAAAAAAUUAAUAUGAAAAAAGAAUAACCAAAAGUACCACUUGAACACCACGGACAGACCGCUACAGCUUAUGUACCACAUAAUUAUACGUAUACCUCGUGUAAAAUAGGCCUCUACGGCGAUUUGAGAUGUCAUCGAGGCAUCGGUCGCCAUUAUUAUAGUUUCGUACUCGUAAAUCGACGGAAAAUACCCAAUUACACAAUGUAAUUGGAGUGGGACUUGGGUUCUGGCCAAGUUUUGUUAUGAUAAAGAAAUCAAAAAUGAUUUACCACUCACUUUUGGAUGCCUGAUUGGUUGGAGCUCACUGAUUUCACAAUCGUCCCCGCUGAGACUUGAGUUUGUUGAACAAUCGGAGAUUUUACGACACAUCGGAAUAUCCAGUAACUCAACUUGGCUUUUACUACGACUAUCUUCAAAGAGGACCCCAGAAGCUUCGGAAUUUGGAGAGUUUCCCUCGGAGCGUGUUAACUUUGGGUAAUAUGGGCUUGGCGAAGCUAAACACGAAUUCCUUCUGUUGAUAUUGCUAGAAAUAGAGGAGAAAAUAAAGAAAUAAAUAAAAUA